AUACAGCCUGGAAACAAAUGGUGGGGAGGGUUUCCCGUAAAUUUGGACAUCUCCAGAUUAAGACCUCCGCCGAAUCCGUGAGGCUUUCCCUCUCCAAGGAGCUCCUAAGUAGAGAAUUUCCCAGUAAAAUCGCCUCAACUGCGGUAAAUAGGCUGUUCCCCGCGCCAGCAUUUGAGAAGAGCUGGUCCCCAGAGUGUACAGGAGUUGGGAUGUUGGCAGGAGGAAGGGUGUGUCGCCGGAUGAGGAAGAGAAAGAAUAGGGAAAUUUGGAUGCAGAGACACAGAGAAAAUGCCAUGUCAAGAUGGAUCAAAGACUGAAGUGAUGCGGCUGCAAGCCGAGGAAUGUGAAGAAUGGCCAGCCACCACCGGAAGCUAGGGGAGACGCCAGCACAGAUUCUCCCUGAGAGUAUCCAGAAGAAACCAACCCUCCAACACCUGGAUUUCAGACUUCUGACCUUGAGAAGUGUGAGCCAAUAAAACAACUGCAGUGG
RNAcentral lists this non-coding RNA (490 nucleotides) under Pongo abelii (Sumatran orangutan). Lineage: Eukaryota; Metazoa; Chordata; Mammalia; Primates; Hominidae. The record is from RNAcentral.